AGUUAGUAUAAAGCAUGUUGUGUCCUAUUGCCAACAGGUGGCGCUAUGAUUAUAACUCAACAUUGGCCUUUAGAUAUCUUCAGGCCAUGACUCUUAUCAAAUAUUUGAAGUUUGGUGCAGAUUGGACAUUGCAUGUUUAAGUUAGUGUAAAACAAGCCAUUUUCUGUUGUCAGCAGGUGGCGCUAUGAUUAUAGUGGAAUAAUGACCUUCAGAUGUGUUCAGGCCAAGACUCUUUUCGAACAUGUGAAGUUUGGGAAAGAUCGGACAUCUUAUGCCUGAGUUACAACAACUUCUAUUCCCAUGGCGAGACAUCGAACUUUGUCAAGGCGCCAUGGCCACACCCUUUAAUGAAACCUCAAGAUGUUCACAAUUUAACAUCACAAAGGCCUUUAGAUUAGACUGACCAAAAAAAUUAUAAAAUGUCAUAAAAUUUCUAGGAGUAGUUUGUUACGGCGUAAAACAUGUCACUUCCUGUUGCCAGCAGGUGGCGCUAUAGCGAUAUCUGAAUAUUGGCAUGUAGAUAUAUUCAGGUCAGGAGUCUUCUCAAACAUGUGAAGUUUGGGGCAGAUUGGACAUUGUAUGUCUGAGUUAUAGCAACUUCCUUUCUCAUGGUGAAACAUCGAAAUUUGUAAGGCCGCCACAGACACACCCUUAAACGAAACCUCAAGAUCUUCGCAAUUUAACAUCGCAAAGGCCUUUAGAUUACACUGACAAAGUUUGGUGUUGAUCUGAAUAAAUCUCUAGGAGGAGUUCGUUAAAGUACAACCCCUGAAAAUGGCAAAAACGACACAAAUUUUGCAGAGAAAAUUCAAAAUAACUGACUUCCUGUUGGGAUUCGAAUUUCGUACCAAGAGACUUUUUUGUAGGUAUUGGUGUGUUACAUGUGUGUACCGAUUUUUGUACAUGUACGUGAAACGUAGCUCGAGGCGCACUCCUUUGAAAAUGUAUAGGUGGCGCUAUCGAGGCAUUUU
Cyprinus carpio carpio is the source of this 971-nucleotide long non-coding RNA. The record is from Ensembl. NCBI's taxonomy places the organism in Eukaryota, Metazoa, Chordata, Actinopteri, Cypriniformes, Cyprinidae.